UGGCGGCAAUAGCGCGGUGGUCCCACCUGACCCAUGCCGAACUCAGAAGUGAAACGCCGUAGCGCCGAUGGUAGUGUGGGGUCUCCCCAUGUGAGAGUAGGGAACUGCCAGGCA
This 114-nucleotide ribosomal RNA is filed under the name Klebsiella terrigena. The record is from RNAcentral. Lineage: Bacteria; Pseudomonadati; Pseudomonadota; Gammaproteobacteria; Enterobacterales; Enterobacteriaceae.